RNAcentral lists this ribosomal RNA (271 nucleotides) under uncultured archaeon. Its description in RNAcentral is "partial 16S ribosomal RNA". It matches the Rfam family "Archaeal small subunit ribosomal RNA", at positions 477 to 747 of the family's 1478-position model. The record is from RNAcentral.
CAGCGCCACGAGUGGCAACCGUAUUUAUUGGGCCUAAAGCGUCCGUAGCCGGUUCUGUAAAUCUUUUGUGAAAUCAUGGGGCUCAACUCCAUGUCGUGCAGGAGACACUACAGGACUUGGAACCGGGAGGAGUCAGAAGUAUUCUGGGGGGAGCGGUAAAAUGUUAUAAUCCCCGGAGGACUACCUGUGGCGAAGGCGUCUGACUAGAACGGAUUCGACGGUGAGGGACGAAAGCUGGGGGAGCAAACCGGAUUAGAUACCCGAGUAGUCC